AGAUGUGAGGGAAGUCUGGCUGUGACAUCUUUCACCCCAUUGAUCACCAGGGUCGAUUUGCCUGGCUGAGUGGGUGUCCCCUCCCUCCUUCACUGCUCCAUGUGCAUUGUUCCCAAAGCUGUGCAAUCAGUCAAAGAGAACAACCACCCCCAAUAGAGGAGGACCAUUUCUUUGGUCAAGGGUAUACGAGUAGCUGCGCUCCCCUGCUAGAACCUCCAGGCUCUCAAGAAGUUUGUCUAUCACCACUGGCCUGACAUUUUAUUACUAGGGAUAUUUUA
Molecule: small nuclear RNA, 278 nt
Filed under: Heterocephalus glaber (naked mole-rat)
Lineage: Eukaryota; Metazoa; Chordata; Mammalia; Rodentia; Bathyergidae
Description: 7SK RNA
Rfam family: 7SK RNA
About the family: 7SK was discovered as an abundant small nuclear RNA in the mid-70s but a possible function has only recently been suggested. Two independent studies have found that 7SK RNA binds the CDK9/cyclin T complex (known as elongation factor P-TEFb). P-TEFb activates transcription by phosphorylating the C-terminal domain of RNA polymerase II.
Source: Rfam by way of RNAcentral